AUCUUGGCGCUUGGGGCAAUGACGCCGUCGGGGAAGAUCCGACUGAGGUGCGUCGAUUGCUGGUUGAAAACUAUUUCCAAACCCCCUCUCCGGCCUGGGCUUUGCCCCCUCGCACCGGAGGGGUAAA
Non-coding RNA from Punica granatum (pomegranate), 127 nucleotides. NCBI's taxonomy places the organism in Eukaryota, Viridiplantae, Streptophyta, Magnoliopsida, Myrtales, Lythraceae. The record is from Rfam.